CGCUGGCGGCAUGCCUAACACAUGCAAGUCGAACGUGAUCCAUGACUUCGGUUGUGGUGAAAGUGGCAGACGGGUGAGUAACGCGUGGGAACCUGCCCAAUGGUAGGGAAUAACCGCGGGAAACUGCGGCUAAUACCCUAUGACCCCUUUGGGGGAAAGAUUUAUCGCCAUUGGAGGGGCCCGCGUCGGAUUAGGUAGUUGGUAGGGUAACGGCCUACCAAGCCAUCGAUCCGUAGCUGGUCUGAGAGGAUGAUCAGCCACACUGGGACUGAGAUACGGCCCAGACUCCUACGGGAGGCAGCAGUGGGGAAUAUUGGACAAUGGGGGCAACCCUGAUCCAGCAAUGCCGCGUGAGUGAUGAAAGCCUUCGGGUUGUAAAGCUCUUUCGGCGGGGAAGAUNAUGACGGUACCCGCAGAAGAAGCCCCGGCUAACUUCGUGCCAGCAGCCGCGGU
RNAcentral lists this ribosomal RNA (453 nucleotides) under uncultured Alphaproteobacteria bacterium. RNAcentral describes it as "bacterial SSU rRNA". It matches the Rfam family "Bacterial small subunit ribosomal RNA", at positions 34 to 521 of the family's 1533-position model. The record is from RNAcentral. Lineage: Bacteria; Pseudomonadati; Pseudomonadota; Alphaproteobacteria.